Long non-coding RNA from Mytilus californianus (California mussel), 487 nucleotides. RefSeq lists it as uncharacterized. The transcript has 3 exons. The record is from RefSeq and is a predicted model, not a curated record. NCBI's taxonomy places the organism in Eukaryota, Metazoa, Mollusca, Bivalvia, Mytilida, Mytilidae.
CGCGUAGUCGAACCCCUAGGCUAAUACGGUUUAAAACUUUAGGCUUAAAGUAAUCAAAGUGUAUACUAUGGAGUGAUUUCCGUACUAUGCGUAGGAUAACUUAUAAGAAAAAGAUACAUCAUAGUUUGAUCUGCCGAGUAUAAACUCAAAGAAUAUGUUUAUUACAAUUUGGGGUAUAUACUACAGUUACAUUGCCAUAAAAAAAAUUGUGAUUGACCACUGGGGAUGUAGGAACGUAAAAUUUUAUUCUUGUUGUGGAAGAAUGCCUGAUACACGACAAUUUGUGACAAGAUAACCGCCUUACAGUAAAGACAAACUUGGUGUAGCAACAGUGACUGAAGACCAUUUGACGGUUUCCAUGGGAUAUAAUUAUAUGAACCAUUGACAAAAUGAUGGAGGACCUUUGUGAUGCUAUGAGACACCAUACAAAUCUAACAGUUAUCUUUUAGUGUUUAAAUGAUGAUUCAACACAAAGGGAAAUAAUCCU